AUGCCCCUACAGGGCGCAGCAGUGGGGGAUAUUGCACAAUGGGGGGAACCCUGAUGCAGCGACGCCGCGUGGGCGAUGGAGCGCCUCGGCGCGUAAAGCCCUAUCAGCAGGGAAGAAGAUGACGGUACCUGACUAAGAAGCCCCGGCUAAAUACGUGCCAGCAGCCGCGGUAAUACGUAGGGGGCAAGCGUUAUCCGGAUUUACUGGGUGUAAAGGGAGCGUAGACGGUGUGGCAAGUCUGAAGUGAAAGCCCGGGGCUCAACCCCGGGACUGCUUUGGAAACUGUCAUGCUGGAGUGCUGGAGG
Molecule: ribosomal RNA, 305 nt
Filed under: uncultured bacterium
Lineage: Bacteria
Description: bacterial SSU rRNA
Rfam family: Bacterial small subunit ribosomal RNA
Source: RNAcentral